Molecule: ribosomal RNA, 468 nt
Filed under: uncultured bacterium
Lineage: Bacteria
Description: partial 16S ribosomal RNA
Rfam family: Bacterial small subunit ribosomal RNA
Source: RNAcentral
GACGAACGCUGGCGGCGUGCUUAACACAUGCAAGUCGAACGGAAAGGCCCUGCUUUUGUGGGGUGCUCGAGUGGCGAACGGGUGAGUAACACGUGAGUAACCUGCCCUUGACUUUGGGAUAACUUCAGGAAACUGGGGCUCAUACCGGAUAUGAGCUCCUGCUGCAUGGUGGUGGUUGGAAAGUUUCGGCGGUUGGGGAUGGACUCGCGGCUUAUCCGCUUGUUUGUGGGGUAGUGGCUUACCAAGGCUUUGACGGGUAGCCGGCCUGAGAGGGUGACCGGCGACAAUAGGACUGAGAUACGGCCCAGACUCGUACGGGAGGCAGCAGUGGGGAAUAUUGCACAAUGGGCGGAAGCCUGAGGCAGCAACGCCGCGUGCGGGAUGACGGCCUUCGGGUUGUAAACCGCUUUCGCCGGUGACGAAGCGUGAGUGACGGUAAUGAGUAAAGAAGCACCGGCUAACUACGUG